Molecule: unclassified non-coding RNA, 261 nt
Filed under: Hevea brasiliensis (rubber tree)
Lineage: Eukaryota; Viridiplantae; Streptophyta; Magnoliopsida; Malpighiales; Euphorbiaceae
Source: RNAcentral
GUCGGAUUCUGGAAGGCAGAGAAACCCCAGAAAGUCUUCAAGGAGUAGGGCUUCGAAAUAGUAACCCCUUCUUCAGUAAUAUUGGCAAUCUGAAACUUAUUGAUAGAUGACCUAUCACGAUAUAAAAGCACAAGCAAACACUUCUCUAGCAAUUUCACAGCCUCUUCAAAGGUCAGGUUCUCAUUCCAUUCAGCACGAAGAAUUGGUCUAGCAAGAUGGUUUCCGAACCCAGUAGCAACAUGAUCAUCCUCAAAAUGUGUA